RNAcentral lists this ribosomal RNA (451 nucleotides) under uncultured bacterium. Its description in RNAcentral is "partial 16S ribosomal RNA". It matches the Rfam family "Bacterial small subunit ribosomal RNA", at positions 28 to 507 of the family's 1533-position model. The record is from RNAcentral.
GAUGAACGCUGGCGGCGUGCCUAACACAUGCAAGUCGAGCGGCAGCGAGGGGUGCUUGCACCCUGUCGGCGAGCGGCGGACGGCUGAGUAGCGCGUGGGAACGUGCCCCAAAGUGAGGAAUAACUGCCCGAAAGGGUAGCUAAUACCGCAUAUUAUCUUCGGAUCAAAGGAUUUAUCCGCUUUGGGAGCGGCUCGCGUCGGAUUAGGUAGUUGGUGAGGUAAUGGCUCACCAAGCCGACGAUCCGUAGCUGGUCUGAGAGGAUGACCAGCCAGACUGGAACUGAGACACGGUCCAGACUCCUACGGGAGGCAGCAGUGAGGAAUCUUCCACAAUGGGCGAAAGCCUGAUGGAGCAACGCCGCGUGCAGGACGAAGGCCUUCGGGUUGUAAACUGCUUUUAUAAGUGAGGAAUAUGACGGUAACUUAUGAAUAAGGAUCGGCUAACUACGUG